Molecule: ribosomal RNA, 253 nt
Filed under: uncultured bacterium
Lineage: Bacteria
Description: partial 16S ribosomal RNA
Rfam family: Bacterial small subunit ribosomal RNA
Source: RNAcentral
UACGUAGGGGGCAAGCGUUGUCCGGAUUUAUUGGGCGUAAAGAGCGUGUAGGCGGCCUGGAAGGUCAGCUGUGAAAACUCGAGGCUCAACCUCGAGACGUCGGUUGAAACCACCUGGCUAGAGUCCGGAAGAGGAGUGUGGAAUUCCCGGUGUAGCGGUGGAAUGCGCAGAUAUCGGGAGGAACACCGGUGGCGAAGGCGGUUCUCUGGGCCUGUUCUGACGCUGAGGAGCGAAAGCGUGGGGAGCGAACAGG